UACGUAGGUGGCAAGCGUUGUCCGGAUUUACUGGGCGUAAAGCGCGCGCAGGCGGACCGGUCAGUCCGGGGUGAAAUCUCACGGCUCAACCGUGAGGGGUCCCCGGAUACUGCUGGUCUUGAGGGGCUCAGAGGAGAGUGGAAUUCCGGGUGUAGUGGUGGAAUGCGUAGAUAUCCGGAGGAACACCAGUGGCGAAAGCGGCUCUCUGGGGGUAACCUGACGCUGAGGCGCGAAAGCGUGGGGAGCGAACCGG
RNAcentral lists this ribosomal RNA (253 nucleotides) under uncultured bacterium. Its description in RNAcentral is "partial 16S ribosomal RNA". It matches the Rfam family "Bacterial small subunit ribosomal RNA", at positions 524 to 776 of the family's 1533-position model. The record is from RNAcentral.